RNAcentral lists this ribosomal RNA (443 nucleotides) under uncultured Thauera sp. Its description in RNAcentral is "bacterial SSU rRNA". It matches the Rfam family "Bacterial small subunit ribosomal RNA", at positions 938 to 1382 of the family's 1533-position model. Lineage: Bacteria; Pseudomonadati; Pseudomonadota; Betaproteobacteria; Rhodocyclales; Zoogloeaceae. The record is from RNAcentral.
GAUGUGGAUUAAUUCGAUGCAACGCGAAAAACCUUACCUACCCUUGACAUGUCUGGAAUCUUGGUGAGAGCCGAGGGUGCCUUCGGGAGCCAGAACACAGGUGCUGCAUGGCUGUCGUCAGCUCGUGUCGUGAGAUGUUGGGUUAAGUCCCGCAACGAGCGCAACCCUUGUCACUAGUUGCCAUCAUUUGGUUGGGCACUCUAGUGAGACUGCCGGUGACAAACCGGAGGAAGGUGGGGAUGACGUCAAGUCCUCAUGGCCCUUAUGGGUAGGGCUUCACACGUCAUACAAUGGUCGGUACAGAGGGUUGCCAAGCCGCGAGGUGGAGCCAAUCCCUUAAAGCCGAUCGUAGUCCGGAUCGUAGUCUGCAACUCGAGAGCAUGAAGUCGGAAUCGCUAGUAAUCGCAGGUCAGCAUACUGCGGUGAAUACGUUCCCGGGUCUU